ACGGGGCCCGCACAAGCGGUGGAGCAUGUGGUUUAAUUCGAUGCAACGCGAAGAACCUUUACCUGGUCUUGACAUCCACGGAAGUUUUCAGAGAUGAGAAUGUGCCUUCGGGAACCGUGAGACAGGUGCUGCAUGGCUGUCGUCAGCUCGUGUUGUGAAAUGUUGGGUUAAGUCCCGCAACGAGCGCAACCCUUAUCCCUUUGUUGCCAGCGGUCCGGCCGGGAACUACAAAGGAGACUGCCAGUGAUAAACUGGAGGAAGGUGGGAUGACGUCAAGUCAUCAUGGCCCUUACGACCAGGGCUACACACGUGCUACAAUGGCGCAUACAAAGAGAAGCGACCUCGCGAGAGCAAGCGGACCUCAUAAAGUGCGUCGUAGUCCGGAUUGGAGUCCGCAACUCGACUCCAUGAAGUCGGAAUCGCUAGUAAUCGCGGAUCAGCCAUGCCGCGGUGAAUACGUUCCCGGGCCUU
RNAcentral lists this ribosomal RNA (471 nucleotides) under uncultured Enterobacteriaceae bacterium. RNAcentral describes it as "bacterial SSU rRNA". It matches the Rfam family "Bacterial small subunit ribosomal RNA", at positions 916 to 1381 of the family's 1533-position model. The record is from RNAcentral. Lineage: Bacteria; Pseudomonadati; Pseudomonadota; Gammaproteobacteria; Enterobacterales; Enterobacteriaceae.